This 253-nucleotide ribosomal RNA is filed under the name uncultured bacterium. Its description in RNAcentral is "partial 16S ribosomal RNA". It matches the Rfam family "Bacterial small subunit ribosomal RNA", at positions 524 to 776 of the family's 1533-position model. RNAcentral also lists the same sequence under 1 other name. The record is from RNAcentral.
UACGAAGGAUGCAAGCGUUAUCCGGAUUCAUUGGGUUUAAAGGGAGCGUAGGUGGCCUUAUAAGUCAGUGGUGAAAUCUCUGGGCUUAACUCAGAAAUUGCCAUUGAUACUGUAGGGCUUGAGUAUAGUUGCCGUUGGCGGAAUAUGACAUGUAGUGGUGAAAUACAUAGAGAUGUCAUAGAACACCGAUUGCGAAGGCAGCUGACGAAACUAUAACUGACACUGAGGCUCGAAAGUGCGGGGAUCAAACAGG